GAUGAACGCUGGCGGCGUGCCUAAUACAUGCAAGUCGAGCGAACAGACGAGGUGCUUGCUCCUCUGACGUUAGCGGCGGACGGGUGAGUAACACGUGGAUAACCUACCUAUAAGACUGGGAUAACUUCGGGAAACCGGAGCUAAUACCGGAUAAUAUAUUGAACCGCAUGGUUCAAUAGUGAAAGACGGUUUUGCUGUCACUUAUAGAUGGAUCCGCGCCGCAUUAGCUAGUUGGUAAGGUAACGGCUUACCAAGGCAACGAUGCGUAGCCGACCUGAGAGGGUGAUCGGCCACACUGGAACUGAGACACGGUCCAGACUCCUACGGGAGGCAGCAGUAGGGAAUCUUCCGCAAUGGGCGAAAGCCUGACGGAGCAACGCCGCGUGAGUGAUGAAGGUCUUCGGAUCGUAAAACUCUGUUAUUAGGGAAGAACAAAUGUGUAAGUAACUAUGCACGUCUUGACGGUACCUGAUCAGAAAGCCACGGCUAACUACGUG
RNAcentral lists this ribosomal RNA (497 nucleotides) under uncultured bacterium. RNAcentral describes it as "partial 16S ribosomal RNA". It matches the Rfam family "Bacterial small subunit ribosomal RNA", at positions 28 to 507 of the family's 1533-position model. The record is from RNAcentral.